GUGUUGCCUUUUUCGGCCGUAGCACCCAGACGGUCCUAUUGGGGAACUGCCAGGACACCAUCCACGCUGAGCUAAUGUGACUCUUGCCUUUUUAUGGCAUGACUUAAAACAACGCCAGUUCGGGAAAAACCAUACAAUCUGUUUCGCCUUUCAAGAAAAAUUAUUGGGAACGGCUGCAACCAGUUUGCCGGAGGACUGCACCAAUGCGACGAGCCGGACAUUCCUUCACAUCCUCAUCUAUGAGCCUCAGUCCAUAAUGCUGGGAGAGGAUGGGGUUGAUGGCACUGCCUUCAGUGAGCCUGAGAAACUCUGUGCUGCUGGGGUUUCUCCACAUUCUGCGGAGGAAAAACACGAAAGGUCUCCUAAUAAAUGGGACAGAAGAAA
This is a long non-coding RNA of Brienomyrus brachyistius, 384 nucleotides long. RefSeq lists it as uncharacterized. The record is from RefSeq and is a predicted model, not a curated record. Lineage: Eukaryota; Metazoa; Chordata; Actinopteri; Osteoglossiformes; Mormyridae. The transcript has 3 exons.